GCGGCGUCGGACAGGGGUGCGGCGGGAAGGUGGCGACGGACAGGGGAGCGGCGGCUUUGCGGGAAGAGCAGAAGGGAGAAGCAGCAAGCCCGCGCUAGGAAGGUUGCAACUCAUCGGCUAGCGCCCCUGCUCCUCUGGCUGCUCCUCCAGCCUGCCCGAGUGCAGCGUGCUGCUCCUCCAGCCGCCCGUGUUCUCCCUCUCUACGUAUGACGGCGAGACUGGCCUCUGAGGUAACCCUCCCUCCCUCCUUCCCGUCUCCUCUCAUUCGGUCACCUUAUUCGUGGGCACCUCGACACAUAGGCCGUGGAAUGUAGGGAGUAGGGUGAUCUGAGAGAGAUGAGCUUCAAGCUUGUAACAAUUUCAGAGCGUACCACCUCAUGCCAUGUUCAUUUGUUUCAUGUUUGGGAUUUGUUGGCACCAGGUAAUUGAUCACGAUGGGAUUUGAGUAAAACAUUUGUCUGUCACUCUAAUUCGUAUUGUGGUUUGUCCCAUAUCCCUGUCAAUCCCUGUACACUUCAUUGAAGUUCGGUUAGUCAGGGAUUGAACAGAAUUCGUACAUGAAUACUGUUCAAAUGUUGCACUAAGUAAACAUUCAUCUUUGGAUUCAAUUUGUACAGGGAAAGCUUUAUAUAUCCAGGGAAUGUAGGUUAGGCAUCUCACUGAGUGAUCAUUCAUCUCUAAGUAUUUACAGGGAAUAUUUGAUACAAAUAUGCAGCGAAUUUAAUGUAAACAAGGCACAUCCACUCUUUGAGAUAUUAUAGUUGAAGUUCCCAAAAUACUCAAGAGCUCAGUACUGUAAAUAUUCAGAGAAACAAUUUUUUUAAUAUAAUCCCUUAUUGGCAUAUCCAUUGCGAAGCUAAUAACGUUAAAGUUCUAGUUUAAGUAUAUAGAGUACGUGUAUAUAUGGGAGUAAGUCAACACAAGUGAGCGUAAUCAGACUAACGACCCUAAUUUGCAACAUAAAUAGGAACACGUAUAUCAAUUACACUUCUAAGGUAAUAACGGAUUUAUGUCCAGGAAUGGAUCACAUCAAUUGUAAGCAUAAGGCAAAGAUUAUAUGCUUACAAAAAGUAUGUAAAAUAGUUUUUACAAAAUAUAACAGAAGUCUGCUGAACUAAAGGACGACUUUGAGAAUCUAUAUCAUGUAGUACUCUGAAUCCAGUGUUGAUUUUUUUAUCCAAAUCGGAAUAAGAAGGACAAGAUGAGAGAUGAUUACAUGAACGCCAUUCUCUUGUGUAAUGGGUGGUUCAUGCGCUAGCUAAGUGCCGACGACUGUGUGGUGCUGAUCUCCCUUGUUCGUUUCUUCCUUUUCAGUUUAGUGCAGCUAGCAAUUGAUUUUUUGAUUUCAUUCCUUCAUGUGGGGCUAGUUCCAUGUCGGCUUUUCGUGAUUUGGAGUUCAAAUGCAACAUGAAGCUUAGCAUAGUGCAUUCCAUUUGAAUUCUAGUCUUGCAGCGUGUUCUGUUUCUUUGUGGAUACAUGAUAAUUGAUGGCACCCGAACCUUGUUCUUUGAGGUACAGAAGAAAAAUGUUGCGUCAGUUCGAUCACAUACCACUAAUAACCAUAGUGGUUGCUUUCAGUUAUUUGAGCCAUUCCUGUAUGAAUGGCUCCAUUGCUAUUGUUUGGUUCCUUUACUAGCUAGGAGUUGUGGAUCUUUUCAUUUUGGUGAACAUUGAAUUCGCAUGCUAUUUUUUUAAGAUGGAUCCUUGUUAUUUGUGUAAGAGAGGCUCGGUGUAGUUAUCAAAUGAUGGUUGUGCUAAUAAGACUUUGUUUGUGUAGAUUUCUGAAUUUCUCUAGUCUAAUUUACACUGGUAAAAAGGCAGAGGGUGAACCUUUUGUAUUUGCCAAUCAAGUUGACCAAAUGUCCAAGUGUUCUACGCAGAUGACUAUGUUUAUCCAGGAUGGUCAAUUGUUUUAAAGAUGAAGCCUUGAGAUAAUAUUGAUAUGGGUUAAGAAUGGAAUGAUGUGGAAACAGAACCUUAUCAUGUUAGCAAAAUGAUGGCCAAAGGGCUAUUAUACCUAUACGAGUAAAAAGGGGGAGCCACGAAGCCGCGUCCCAGGUACCCCUCGCGUCGCCUCCCCUCGGGCGACGCCAGGGGCCCCAAAACCCUAGCCGCUAAAGAGUUUCUCCCCUUCCCCGUCCGCCGCUGCCGCCGGUGAGGGCCGCGGUGGCGGCGGGUCCUGUGCCUUAGUGCCAGGGCGGGCGGUAGCCGCGUAGUCCCAGUGAGGCGGAGGGGCCGUCGCGCGCGUGGAUGACGUGUGCGGCAGUCAGGGCGGCAUCCCUGCUGCACGGCGGCGUUCGUGGCCCUCAUGGCCAGCCGUGGUCGGAGGUUGGAUGGUGGGGGUGCAGCGCUCCAUCCAGCAAGGGCGGCGGCUGCGUGCAAGGGCUACAUCGAGGGCUGCGGAUCGUGCUACUGUAUGCGGUCUCACAAAACCAUCUCUGUGUGUGAACUUCUCCUGAAACUGCGCACAUGCAUAAAUGUGGAUCAACUGUUCCACAGCAGACAUACUCGACAACCCCCUCCUAUUUUUUAUGGUUUCGUGCAAUUUUUUCCAUUCCCUCCAUUCUCUCAAGCCAAUUGCGGCUAAUCUGGUUGGAAAAACUUAAGUACGCACGCUUCAUUACCAAAUAGUUUUUUUAAAAGGACAUAGACUAAACAUCAGAUCUCGCGAGGAGGUAACCGCGCCACCAAAAUCAGAAACCUCUCCCAUAUCAACACAGUUCCCUUCCUAAUCUCGUACUGGGUUCAUCGCAUGCCCGACGGCCGGUGGCGGAGGCAGCACCACGAUCUGAGCAAGGUUAGUUCCCGACGUACUCUCCCAUAACACAUCCUCUCUCGCUCCCUACUUUAUUGAUCUAUGCUCUUAAUCAAUUAACAUCUCCCUGCCACGCAAAUCCGUCUCGUAGGUCGUGGCAACAAUCCUGAGAAUUCAUCUAGUCUGUACCGUGCUCCUUAUCCAAUCUCAUUGCCACAAUUCAUCCCUCCGUAUUGGUUGUCAGCUAUUUUUUCACACACCAAUCGAUAUACACACAGAUCGCGAUUCUAGUUUAAUCUAACAUUGAUUUAUAUGUUCGGCUUACUCAUCGCAAAAGCUACCUUUGUUUAUUAUUGAGAUAUCUUAUGCUUUGCGCUGGGAUUGCCCCUUCCCAUGGAUCCUAUCCAAAUUCUUAUCUUUGGUGUCUCUCCCGGAUUGAAUUGUAAUUUUUCGAAUCUGGGUGUGCUAUAUGCUGUAUAGCAUGUUUCGCUGUCUUAGGGAAGGGGAAUUAGAGGUGGGAGUUUACUACAGGGUUGGGCUUGGGAAAGAGACUUUGACUUGUACACUAUAAGAUUUGAUUUGACUACUUGUGAGAAUCGAGAGGGAGUGUGGGCACAUUAGACAUGAAAAAGCAUUAGUCUGUUGUUGCACAUAAAAUUUAGACUAAUUAAAUACGGCAGCCCUGAUCGUGUUUAAGCAUAUUCAUACAAUUAGCACAAAACACACACUCACCUGAUUUUAAAUCUCAUAUGACUGGAUUCAUGUUUGGCAUCUGGGUUGAUCUAAAGGGAAAAGUUACAAGAAUUAGAAUUCGUAGGCACAAUCAAAUAAGAUGGAUGCGAAUUAAAAUAAUAAACUAGCCCAUUAGAUGGUACUAAUCGUGGUAAGAGGUUACUUGAGCUAUAUAAUUAUAUGCAUAUUCAGCUAGGACAGUGAUCAGUAGUGAUGAGAAAUCUAUGAAUAGAUUAAAUGAUUGGAGGGUGUGGUGAGCACAUUAAUAUCUCAUGGUUUGAGCUAUAAAUUCCAAAUGUGGGCAGUCUUGUUUACACCUGUUGUCUAUUGUUCUUGCGGUUAUGAGUAUCAUUUGAUUGGUUUCAGUGUAGGAGUACGGUAGUCAAGAUGUCAGUUAGUGAACUCGCUCUUCAGUAGCACAGGCUAGUAAGUGAAUUAGCAACCACUAAAACCAAAUAGAUCCGAUGCAAAUUACAUUUCAGAGUAAUGGUUUCAUAUCUUCGUUCAAUGUUUCACUAUUAAAAACAAAUUAUUUAGCGAACUCACCCUUCACUAACACAAACCAACUCCUACUCAUUACGGAGUUGCUACAUUUAUUCAGUGAGGAUUAAGGAAGAAACAUUUUCAGGCUUAUUCAGUUGAUUGUAGCGACAAUAUUUACUCCAAUACGUGAUUGUUUCAGCUAAAAUCUGAAGUAGUCAUGUUCACAUCUGAGGAGAUGGCUAUCAUAAGGUCAAGUGCCACCAUAUAGUCUCGAUCUCUGAAGAUAUCAGUAUGGUCAGUCUUAAUCAGUACCACCAGCUCCUAUUUAUGCAGUAUCUAAUCCUUUGAGCUAUAUUGCAAUUGUGGAUAAUCUUGUUACACCUUUUGUCUAUUGUUCUAGUGGUUGUGAGUAUCAUUUGAUUAUACCUACUCUGUCCUAAAUUAACGUUGGCCAUUGUCACGUUCCAGCAGAUUUGUCACGGACAAGAAUCAGCGUUGUUGAAUCCAAUGAACAAUAUAUGAUGGAAGAACCAAUCGAACAUCAUAAUUCUGCUGAAAAAGAUGUCAAAUCAUAUAAUGUCCAUGAAAGAACUACUAAUGACAAAUAAAUAUUCACAUAUUGUGUGAUGUUGAUGCGGAUGAAAAUGAAGAUGGUAAGUUUAUUGCUCAUUACUUACUGUUUGCAAUUAAAUAUAUAAUACCCAAAACUUGAUGUAUAUCAUGUUAUCCUAGAACAAAGAACUAUGGUUCAUAAUGGUGGUAGUGUUUCCAUGUUUAUAUGUUUAGUUGUUGCUAUCAAAAUGUUGUCCAGAAACAAGAAACUUUUGAUCAGAAUUUCAGUGCAUGGCAAUGGGAAAUAUAUUUUCAUGCAUAUAAGGUAUAUUGCCAUUACCAUAUACAAUAUGUUCCAAAUAUCUUGCUCUGAUGGUCGUCUUGCUACCAUAAUGUUGUUCAGAACAAAGAAACUUUGCUUCAGAAUGUCGGCACACGAUAGGGAGAACCAAAGUAUGGUGCAAACAAGUUGGUAUUUUUCAUAAUCACAUACAAAAUUAUGUUCAAACUAUAGUGCUAGCUUCUUUAUUUGUUUAUUACGUCUUCUUUACUAUCACAAUGUUGUCCAGACCAAAACAACAACAAAAGGUCUGAUGUAGACAGUAAGGGUGCAUUAAACUACCUGUAAAAGUGCUCAAAUUCAUUUCAUAUGUUGCUCUAUUUUGCCUUUGUUUUUUCAUGGGUGUUGAGGCUAGUUAUGACCAUGGUAACAUUGAGUUUCUCCAACAUGCAGAAACUGAAGUAUUAUUGAAGAGCCCGAAAAACCAUAAUAUGACGUAGUUCUUGCUACAAUUAUAUGUUCUGAUCCUAAAUUUUAAACUUGACGGUGCUGGAAUUAGGAAUUACUUUUGGGCCGUGCAUGUCGAUAUGGAGAUAAAACACGGAUUGCAUGGACUUCAACCUUUGUAUGUGACUAAACCUUGCCUCUAUUACUAGCAUUGUGUUAAUGCAUUGUAUUUUAACAGUUAUUUUUUUCGGUUUGUAGAUUCAAGAGAUAACUGGAUGAGUAUGCACGUGUGUGGCAAGUACACUUCAAUCAUGAUGUUGAUGUUCUGGUUCAUGAUGAUGAUGGAUGCUUUCAUUUUUAGUUGUAGGGAUGUUGACGUUCAUGUUAGAUGUUGUUCCUUGAUCUACUAGUUUUAGUGAAGUUGUAGGAAUGUUGAUGGAUGCUUAGUUUAAGUUUCUUUGUCAAGAUAAUGGGUAGAUUAUGCAUCACAUCUGGAUGAUGUUUCUCCUGUAAUAUCCACUAUUGUAAUCCAACAUUUUUAUCUAAUAUAUCCUUUUUCCUCUUAUG
RNAcentral lists this long non-coding RNA (5816 nucleotides) under Hordeum vulgare. RNAcentral's name for it is "long non-coding RNA (HVUL_LNC012412)". Lineage: Eukaryota; Viridiplantae; Streptophyta; Magnoliopsida; Poales; Poaceae. The record is from RNAcentral.